RNAcentral lists this ribosomal RNA (433 nucleotides) under uncultured bacterium. Its description in RNAcentral is "partial 16S ribosomal RNA". It matches the Rfam family "Bacterial small subunit ribosomal RNA", at positions 29 to 507 of the family's 1533-position model. The record is from RNAcentral.
AACGAACGCUGGCGGCAUGCCUAACACAUGCAAGUCGAACGAGACCUUCGGGUAUAGUGGCGCACGGGUGCGUAACGCGUAGGAACCUGCCCUUAGGUUCGGAAUAACUCCCCGAAAGGGGUGCUAAUACCGGAUAAUGUCUUCGGACCAAAGAUUUAUCGCCUUUGGAUGGGCCCGCGUUGGAUUAGCUAGUUGGUAGGGUAAAAGCCUACCAAGGCGACGAUCCAUAGCUGGUCUGAGAGGAUGAUCAGCCACACUGGGACUGAGACACGGCCCAGACUCCUACGAGAGGCAGCAGUGGGGAAUAGUGGACAAUGGGCGAAAGCCUGAUCCAGCAAUGCCGCGUGAGUGAUGAAGGCCUUAGGGUUGUAAAGCUCUUUUACCCGGGAUGAUAAUGACAGUACCGGGAGAAUAAGCUCCGGCUAACUCCGUG